Molecule: ribosomal RNA, 496 nt
Filed under: uncultured bacterium
Lineage: Bacteria
Description: partial 16S ribosomal RNA
Rfam family: Bacterial small subunit ribosomal RNA
Source: RNAcentral
GACGAACGCUGGCGGCGUGCCUAAUACAUGCAAGUUGAGCGCUGAAGGCUGGUACUUGUACCAACUGGAUGAGCAGCGAACGGGUGAGUAACGCGUGGGGAAUCUGCCUUUGAGCGGGGGACAACAUUUGGAAACGAAUGCUAAUACCGCAUAAAAACUUUAAACACAAGUUUUAUGUUUGAAAGAUGCAAUUGCAUCACUCAAAGAUGAUCCCGCGUGGUAUUAGCUAGUUGGUGAGGUAAAGGCUCACCAAGGCGAUGAUACAUAGCCGACCUGAGAGGGGGAUCGGCCGCAUUGGGACUGGGACACGGCCCAAACUCCUACGGGAGGCAGCAGUAGGGAAUCUUCGGCAAUGGACGAAAGUCUGACCGAGCAACGCCGCGUGAGUGAAGAAGGUUUUCGGAUCGUAAAACUCUGUUGGUAGAGAAGAACGUUGGUGGGAGUGGAAAGCUCAUCAAGUGACGGAAACGACCCAGAAAGGGACGGCUAACUACGG